CCGUCGGGUACUGCUGCGAUCGCGUGGCGUCGCGCGCCUUGGCUGCGUAGAGCUUCCAGGCGAGGCCGGGGCCGGCGGAGCCGAUCUGGUGGAGGAGCUCGUAGUCCUGGAGAGGCUUGGGUCCCGUGACUUCCUGGACUGUGGUGUGAACCGUCUUCUCGAUCACGGCGGCGGUUCUGGCCAGAGCUUCGGUGAAGGUUUUCAUGUUGAUCGACAUUUUCUAACGGAUUUUGACAGUUGCUCCGUGAAUGUUGUUGCAGAGGAGAGAUCUAAGUUGGGAUCGAGGAGGAAGACGAUGGAGGAUUGAAGCAGAAGUCUGCUGGAUCGAAGAUCAGAUCGUCUUCUUCCUCCUCCUCCCCACCACCUCUCGUCGUCUGAUUGAUUUUUAUUUUCCUUAAGGAAAAAAGUUUCUC
This 413-nucleotide long non-coding RNA is filed under the name Brassica napus (rape). Its description in RNAcentral is "long non-coding RNA (BNAP_LNC018959)". The record is from RNAcentral. Lineage: Eukaryota; Viridiplantae; Streptophyta; Magnoliopsida; Brassicales; Brassicaceae.